This 377-nucleotide unclassified non-coding RNA is filed under the name Hevea brasiliensis (rubber tree). Lineage: Eukaryota; Viridiplantae; Streptophyta; Magnoliopsida; Malpighiales; Euphorbiaceae. The record is from RNAcentral.
ACUGUUGGAAAUGGUUUUCAUGUGAUAGCUGCACACACAGACAGUCCAUGCUUGAAGCUCAAACCAAAAUCUGCGUCCUCCAAAUCUAAUUAUCUAAUGGUCAAUGUGCAGACAUAUGGAGGUGGUUUAUGGCACACAUGGUUUGAUAGAGACUUGAGUGUUGCAGGAAGGGUAAUAGUGAGGGGUACUGAUGGUUCUUUUCUGCACAAGCUUGUCAAAGUAAAGAAGCCUUUAUUACGAAUACCAACGCUGGCCAUUCAUCUUGACCGCACAGUAAAUAAGGAUGGAUUUAAACCAAAUCUAGAGACACAUCUCAUUCCAUUAUUUGCAACAAAACCUGAGGACACAUCUACGGAGUCAAAAGAUAAAAAUACAGG